CCAUUCAACUGAAAAUCUCAAAUCUCUUAUUUUCCCCUUUCCCUUUCAUUUUCAUUUCCUCCUUCUUUUUAUCGUUUCGUUUUUUUUCUUCUCUUCUCGUUCUGGCUAUUCUUCAAUUUCUCGCGAUCUCUUUUCUCUCUCUUCAUCUUCUGAGUGAUAGUGUUGUUGUUGUUGUUGAUCGUGCUUUUCGUUACGCUCAUGGUGAUCGAACAAGACAUUGAAAGCUGCGGAAGCAGAGCAGUGCAGUCGCAUCCGAAUCCUCGCCAUCACCGUCAGAAACUUGAGGUGUACAAUGAGGUUCUUCGUCGAAUUCAGGAUUCCGAUUGUGAAGAGGCUCAUGUUCCUGGUUUCGAUGAUCAAUUAUGGCUUCACUUCAAUCGUCUUCCUGCUAGGUAUGCAUUGGAUGUGAAUGUGGAGAGGGCAGAAGAUGUUCUUGCUCAUAAGAGAUUGCUCAAGUUAGCAGAGGAUCCUGCUAAUCGACCUGCAUUUCAAGUUCGAUUAGUACAGGUAUAUCCUUUUGCUAAUGCAAAUUAUAUUGAUUCUUCCGUGCAUUCAGAUACUUCUGAGAAAGAAGAUGCACAGAGUUCUCUUAACUAUUCUUUAAAACAGGGAAUUCAUCCACCACCCACCUUUGGUUCUUCCUCUAAUCUUGAAGCUCUUGCACUUCAAACAAAUAAAAAUAACAUUGAAGAUGGAGACAAUGCUAUGGGCGUGACAGCAAAUUUUAACCGGCCCAUGCACGAGAUUACCUUUUCAACAGUUGAUAAACCUAAACUCCUUAGUCAGUUAACUUUGAUACUUGGUGAGAUUGGACUGAAUAUUCAAGAAGCUCAUGCAUUUUCCACCUCUGAUGGGUUUUCCUUGGAUGUCUUUGUCGUUGAGGGAUGGCCUAAUGAGGAAACUGAGGAACUUAAAGGUGUGUUGGAAAAGGAAAUUUGGAAGGUUAAGGACCAAUAUCUGUCAAAUCAAGGCAUACUUUAUGCUUUCAAUGAUCCAAACCAUACAACAAUGGAAUCCUCCCCUCCUUGCAUACAAAUACCAUCUGAUGGAGCUGAUGUUUGGGAAAUUGAUACCAGCCAGCUAAAAUAUGAAAACAAAGUUGGCUCUGGAUCAUUUGGUGACUUGUUCAGAGGCACAUAUUGCAGUCAAGAUGUGGCUAUCAAAGUUCUUAAGCCUGAACGCAUAAGCACAGAUAUGCUGAAAGAGUUUGCACAGGAAGUUUAUAUCAUGAGGAAGAUUCGACACAAGAAUGUUGUUCAGUUCAUUGGUGCAUGUACUCGGCCACCAAAUCUUUGCAUUGUUACUGAGUUUAUGUCUAGAGGAAGCUUAUAUGACUUUCUGCACAGACAAAAGGGUGUGUUUAAGCUUCCAUCUUUACUAAAAGCAGCGAUUGAUGUUUCCAAGGGAAUGAACUAUUUGCACCAAAAUAAUAUAAUUCACAGGGACCUCAAGACUGCCAAUCUUCUGAUGGAUGAAAAUGAAUUGGUCAAGGUUGCCGAUUUUGGGGUCGCUAGAGUGCAAACUCAGUCUGGAGUGAUGACAGCUGAAACUGGAACAUACCGCUGGAUGGCUCCUGAGGUCAUUGAACACAAACCAUAUGAUCAGAAGGCAGAUGUUUUCAGUUUUGGAAUAGCACUUUGGGAGCUUUUAACCGGAGAGCUGCCUUACUCUUACUUGACCCCAUUACAAGCAGCAGUUGGUGUGGUGCAGAAGCUUAAAUUGCUAUUAGGGUCUACGACCUACAAUUCCCAAAAAUACACAUCCAAGACUUUCUGAACUACUACAGCGGUGCUGGCAACAAGAUCCAAAGGAGAGACCAGCUUUCUCUGAAAUAAUUGAAAUUCUUCUGAACAUAGCGAAAGAGGUGAAUGAUGACAAAUUAGAUCGACAUAAAGAUAAAUCAUCCCACGGUUUUCUCUCAUCACUUAGGCGCGCUCAUCACUGAUACUGAUAUAUAAGGAUCCAUCAAGAGUGUAACCUUUUUGUCCUGUACAGUAGUCUGACCAAGAUCAAUUGAGUUUGGUUGUUCUGCUCUUGAAAAAUCCUGUUCUAUUGUGCUAUUGCCUUAAUUUUUUUUGUUGCAAUUGCGUCUCUCUUCUUUUGUCCUCUCAACUAUUGUUACUCAGCGGUGAGUAGGAUGGAUGCAAGAGCAGUGGUGGUCGAAAGUCGAAAAUUCAUGGCAUCGUGUAAUGUUAAUUCUUUGCUUUGUUUUCCACGUUUUUUUGAAUCGGAGCUUUUACUAUGCACUCCCCUUUGAUGUUUACCAGUAAAAACAUUAUAUCACGAGAUGUAGUAUAAGGCUCAAUGAAUUUGGCAUAUGCCACCAUGUAA
Molecule: RNA transcript, 2331 nt
Organism: Cicer arietinum (chickpea)
Lineage: Eukaryota; Viridiplantae; Streptophyta; Magnoliopsida; Fabales; Fabaceae
Gene name: serine/threonine-protein kinase STY17
Source: RefSeq, a predicted model, not a curated record